This 446-nucleotide ribosomal RNA is filed under the name uncultured bacterium. RNAcentral describes it as "partial 16S ribosomal RNA". It matches the Rfam family "Bacterial small subunit ribosomal RNA", at positions 29 to 523 of the family's 1533-position model. The record is from RNAcentral.
AGCGAACGCUGGCGGCAGGCUUAACACAUGCAAGUCGAACGGUCCUUCGGGAUAGUGGCGGACGGGUGAGUCACACGUGGGAACAUACCCUUAGGUUCGGAACAACACAGGGAAACUUGUGCUAAUACCGGAUAAGCCCUUCGGGGGAAAGAUUUAUCGCCUUUGGAGCGGCCCGCGUCUGAUUAGCUUGUUGGUGAGGUAAUGGCGCACAAGGCUACGAUCAGUAGCUGGUCUGAGAGGAUGGCCAGCCACACUGGGACUGAGACACGGCCCAGACUCCUACGGGAGGCAGCAGUGGGGAAUCUUGAGCAAUGGGCGAAAGCUUGACGCAGCCAUGCCGCGUGGAUGAUGAAGGUCUUAGGAUUGUAAAAUCCUUUCACCGGGGACGAUAAUGACGGUACCCGGAGAAGAAGCCCCGGCUAACUUCGUGCCAGCCGCCGCCGUAA